UACAGAGGGUGCGAGCGUUAAUCGGAAUUACUGGGCGUAAAGCGUGCGUAGACGGCUAUCUAAGUCGGGUGUGAAAGCCCCGGGCUCAACCUGGGAAUUGCAUUCGAGACUGAAUAGCUAGGGUACGGUAGAGGGAAGUGGAAUUUCCGGUGUAGCGGUGAAAUGCGUAGAUAUCGGAAGGAACAUCAGUGGCGAAAGCGACUUCCUGGACCAGUACCGACGUUCAGGCACGAAAGCGUGAGGAGCAAACAGG
Molecule: ribosomal RNA, 253 nt
Filed under: uncultured bacterium
Lineage: Bacteria
Description: partial 16S ribosomal RNA
Rfam family: Bacterial small subunit ribosomal RNA
Source: RNAcentral